AUGCCAGCAGGACACUUUUUGGCCAACUGUUUGUAUCUUUCCGAAGCUUCAUAGAAGGAUUCACCAUCUUUUUGUUUGAAGGUUUGAACAUCCAUUCUAAGCUU
Molecule: small nucleolar RNA, 104 nt
Organism: Arachis duranensis
Lineage: Eukaryota; Viridiplantae; Streptophyta; Magnoliopsida; Fabales; Fabaceae
Source: RefSeq, a predicted model, not a curated record